GUUCUAUCUGGCGUGAUGCGAUA
This 23-nucleotide non-coding RNA is filed under the name Arabidopsis thaliana (thale cress). Lineage: Eukaryota; Viridiplantae; Streptophyta; Magnoliopsida; Brassicales; Brassicaceae. The record is from RNAcentral.